CAAAUAUAUAUUUCGAGACUAAGUCGAGUGAAUACUAAGGAAAUAAAAAUAUACGCCGGUGCAGUGUGGUCAUCCUACAGUCGAAUAUUCUUUUUUUUUCUAAUGUCUUUUUACUAAGCUUGCAUUAGUACGUGUACCAGGUCCAGGUGUGCACCUGGGUAUGUUACUAAGCUAAUUUAUCCUCCACGUGCCCUCUCCCUUUCUCUAAACUAAACCUAUCUCUCUCUUCCCUGUACUAGUUCUGUACUAGUAGUUAUCAACCGAACAGAGCACCCACUAGUACUAUUAGUCCAGGAAGAACACAAGUAAUAGUACAGACUGAUGCUCCUCUGCUCCUUCCCCAGAUCGGCGCCGCCGCCAGCGACGGGAAAGAUGCCGCUGCUAGAUCCUCCACACUCUCUCUCCCCUGAUGUGAUUCCCCAUAUUAUCCCCAUGAAUUUCAGCCUCAACUCUCUAAUCCCCCUCUGUGUGUGUGUGUGUUCUUUUUGGCUUGCAGGUCAAACCCUAUUGGGGAUGUGAUUUCCCUGCUCCGGAUUGAAGUGGUCGGUGUUGGGCGUCGCCGUAAUGCUGGAUGGUGCAGGUUAGAGCUCCAGUGCGUGGCCAUGGAGCAGAUCGAACAUAUGUGCAGGGGAAUGCUAGUGUUGCUGGGAAGAAGAGGGCUUGGUCUGGCUAUUUUGGGUAGAGCUGAGACGAGUGAAACUUGGCAGUUGCUUACUCUGCUCUCCUUGCCAUCUAAUAUCUGAUAUCCACCUCCCUUGGCUGGUAUGGCUGCCCAUCCUCUUCUCCAUUGUUCUCACAGGUGCUAGCUUCUAAUUGGCUGAAGGUUGAAGCCCAUACAUAGACUAUACUGUUGACCAAUUGACUAUUAAUAUGGUGCACGUGAGGGUGGUGGUCCAUGUGUCUUGCUGUACUGGUUGACCCAGAGAUAUUUUGUGUUGGUCCAACUGUAUAGCUUAGCAUAGCAUGGUCUCCCUAAAUUUUUUUCCAAAGAUUUGUAAUACACUUUUACAGCUAUACUGUCUGAGGUUUAUGAAUAUAAAUAUAUAUAAUUGAGUGGUUA
Aegilops tauschii subsp. strangulata is the source of this 1060-nucleotide long non-coding RNA. RefSeq lists it as uncharacterized. Lineage: Eukaryota; Viridiplantae; Streptophyta; Magnoliopsida; Poales; Poaceae. The record is from RefSeq and is a predicted model, not a curated record.